RNAcentral lists this small nucleolar RNA (133 nucleotides) under Echinops telfairi (small Madagascar hedgehog). RNAcentral describes it as "Small nucleolar RNA SNORA84 (ENSETEG00000026824.1)". It matches the Rfam family "Small nucleolar RNA SNORA84". The record is from RNAcentral. Lineage: Eukaryota; Metazoa; Chordata; Mammalia; Afrosoricida; Tenrecidae.
GCCCUGUGGUUGCUGGGGCUGUUGUUCAAGUACGGCUUGCCAGUCGAUGGCGAUGGGCCAGAGCAAUGCUGUGAUGUAUGCAUGGAGGCUGUUCCUAUUCAGCAGCCUCCAUAGCCCGGCCACUGGUACAUGA